GGCUCGCAGCGGGCCUUGGCUGCGGGGGCCUCUGAAAAACAAUAUGGGACCGUGUAAUUAAAGACACCCAUAAUGAGGGAUGCUCAACAGAGGAAGAAAAGUUCUGUUCCUGCUCUCCAGACACCUCAUUACCUCCCCGAAGUCCUAACGGGGCAAUAGUGAAGGUGCCUUGAUGUUCGUAUGGCCAACAGGAAGAAACCAGGUUGUUUCUUUCCCUCUCUUAUGUGUUCCCUUGUGAUGGAAGAUGACCUUUUAAUGUUUUCCCCCUCUGUAAGAGUUUGUUCCGUCUCUUUGUUAAUUAAAUGAAAAU
Lonchura striata (white-rumped munia) is the source of this 310-nucleotide non-coding RNA. Lineage: Eukaryota; Metazoa; Chordata; Aves; Passeriformes; Estrildidae. The record is from RefSeq and is a predicted model, not a curated record.